Molecule: non-coding RNA, 71 nt
Organism: Bos taurus (domestic cattle)
Lineage: Eukaryota; Metazoa; Chordata; Mammalia; Artiodactyla; Bovidae
Source: Rfam
UCCUGGUAGCUCAGAUGGUAAAGAAUCUGCCUGCGAUUCAGGAGACCCAGGUUUGACCCCUGGACCAGGAA